This 374-nucleotide ribosomal RNA is filed under the name uncultured bacterium. RNAcentral describes it as "bacterial SSU rRNA". It matches the Rfam family "Bacterial small subunit ribosomal RNA", at positions 524 to 898 of the family's 1533-position model. The record is from RNAcentral.
UACGAAGGGGGCUAGCGUUGUUCGGAAUUACUGGGCGUAAAGCGCACGCAGGCGGCUCGUUGAAUUAGAAGUGAAAGCCCUGGGCUCAACCCGGGAAUUGCUUUUAAGACUGGCGAGCUAGAGUCCGGAAGAGGGUAGUGGAAUUCCCAGUGUAGAGGUGAAAUUCGUAGAUAUUGGGAAGAACACCGGUGGCGAAGGCGGCUACCUGGUCCGGUACUGACGCUCAGGUGCGAAAGCGUGGGGAGCAAACAGGAUUAGAUACCCUGGUAGUCCACGCUGUAAACGAUGAGUGCUAGUUGUUGGGGUGCUUGCACCUCAGUGACGCAGCUAACGCAUUAAGCACUCCGCCUGGGGAGUACGGUCGCAAGAUUAAA